Molecule: long non-coding RNA, 1752 nt
Organism: Macaca mulatta (Rhesus monkey)
Lineage: Eukaryota; Metazoa; Chordata; Mammalia; Primates; Cercopithecidae
Source: Ensembl
GCCUUCAGAUAGCUGUGAGGAUAAAAUGAGUGAAUUGGCCUAAAUCUUGUUUAUUGUAAAAUGACAAGUAAAAAUAAAAUUUUUGACAGAUAUAAUGUAAAUUAUUUGAAUGCGAAUGUUUAUUAAUUGGUAACAAAGUGAGCAUGUUUAAUUAUGUUUAGGGACACUCAAAUUCUAGUAUAAAUCCACCUCAACUCAAGUGCAAUUUUGAAACAAAAAAUAAACAUCAGAAAAAAAAAAUAGAAAUUUUCUUAGCCAAAAAAAAAAAAAAAGGAAAAUCAAGCUUUCUGAUGAGUAAUGUACAAUAUAAACAGGAUGAAAAUGCAAAAUUCAUGGCUGCUUUUUAGUCGUGUUACGAACAAAUAAAACAAGAACCCUGAUGACUGGCAAGAUGGCUGAAUAGGAACAGCUCCAGUCUGCAGCUCCCAGUGAGAUCAACGCAGAAGAUAAAACCCUCAUCUCCCUGGGACAGAGCACUGGGGGAAGGGGCAGUUGUGGGCGCAGUUUCAGCAAACUUAAACGUUCCUGCCUGCCAGCUCUGAAGAGAGCAGCCGAUCUCCCAGCACAGCGCUCAAGUUCUGCUAAGGGGCAGACUGCCUCCUCAAGUUGCUCCCUGACCCCCAUACCUCCUGACUGGGAGACACCUCCCAGCAGGUGUCGACAGAUGCCUCAUACAGGAGAGCUCCAGCUGGCAUCUGUUGGGUGCCCCUCUGAGAAGAAGCUUCCAGAGGAAGGAACAGACAACAAUCUUUGUUGUUCUGCAAUAGUUGCUAUUCCACAGUCUCCACUGGUGAUACCCAGGCAAACAGGGUCUGGAGUGGACCUCCAGCAAACUCCAGCUGACCUGCAGCAGAGGGUCCUGACUGUUAGAAGGAAAGCUAACAAACAGAAUGUUUGCCCAUUGGCAAGUUUGUGAUGAACGACAAUGUAGAACCUAGAUUGUGAGUGAGUAAUUUAAGUUUUCUUAAGAAGGCAUUUCUCUGGAUUCAAGCAGACAUACCUGGAACAAAUUCUACUUACUGCAUGCACAAGCAAGCUUUCCCUUCUUGAAGAACCCAGAGGAGUUUUUAGAGCAUUUAGUGAAGCUGUUAAACUCAUCAAAUUAAAGGCAGGCCUAGGCAUCUUUGAUUUUUUUUCUCAAAGCAAAGUGACUGUGGUUAGUGUUUUCUCAGAAAGACUUCUCUCAUUUACGCAAACUGUCUGAGGAACUUAAAAUUUUCCUGGAGGGAAACUUGUGUGAGAUCAUGUGAUAGCAGCGUCUUGCUUUGCAAUUUAUGUCACUUUGAGAUUUAUUUACUUAUUUAAACAACCGAACAUCUGUGUUUCAAAAGACAAGAUUAUCACCAGAAUACUCACCUUGGUUAAGAUGAGUUGGAUUCUUGUAUUUUUUUGUCCUGGACAACCUAGUUAUGACAUUGCCUAAAGAAUGCACUAGGCUGAGCAUGGUGCCUAGUAUCUGUAAUCCUAUCACUUUGGAAGGCUGAAGUGGGCAGACCAAUUCAGGCCAGGAGUUCAAGACCAGCCUGGCCAUCAUGGCGAAAUCCUGUCUCUAGUAAAACUACAAAAAUUAGCCAGGUAUGGUGGCACAUUACUGUAAAGCUAGCUGCGUGGAAGGCUGAAACACCAGAAUUGUUUGAACCCAGGAGAUGGAGGUUGCAGUGAGCUGAGAUAGUGCCACUACACUCCAGCCUGGGUGACAGAGUCAGAUCCUGCCUCAAAUAAAAACAAAAAAAGAAAAAAAAAAGAAAAAAA